This 28-nucleotide non-coding RNA is filed under the name Rattus norvegicus (Norway rat). The record is from RNAcentral. Lineage: Eukaryota; Metazoa; Chordata; Mammalia; Rodentia; Muridae.
UCCCUGAAGGAAGAGUGCGGAGGGUGUA